UUUUACAUCGUAAUGCGUUAUG
Molecule: small nuclear RNA, 22 nt
Filed under: Arabidopsis thaliana (thale cress)
Lineage: Eukaryota; Viridiplantae; Streptophyta; Magnoliopsida; Brassicales; Brassicaceae
Description: snRNA_16618
Source: RNAcentral